RNAcentral lists this long non-coding RNA (1789 nucleotides) under Homo sapiens (human). RNAcentral describes it as "HSALNT0325629". The record is from RNAcentral. Lineage: Eukaryota; Metazoa; Chordata; Mammalia; Primates; Hominidae.
GGACAAUGAGAUAUUUAAUUUGCCACGGCAAAGCCAUUGCUGUGAAGAAUGGAUAAUAUAUGUCAAUGGUAAUAUAUGAAGAAAUAACACAGAUGGAGCUGGCUUGAAAUCCUCUUGUUUAUGGCAGUACAUAUCGGUUAUGAUUCAAAAAAUAUAGCCCAUUUCCAAAAACCUGCAACAAAGAGAUACUUUCUCAGGUGAUUGUUCAGAUCAUUAUUCAUUACAAAGUGUCAGUUUUGUCUUUAUUGAUCCUCAUUAUUGUAAGAAAGUAUGUGGUCUUGUCUCCAUUCUAUUAAAACAACAUUGUAGAGAUUAGCACUGAGUCUUUCCAGCCAUAUGCAUCUGUUCAUUUCCGUCUCCAGCUUGAGUUUUUCUGUGUAUUACAAAAUAAGAAAACAAAAAUGACACAAUAAUCUAUUUUGUCUGGUUUUGCUCUUUAUUAGUAGAAAUAGACAAGUGAGGAGUUGGAGGAAGAAAUUGCUUCUGAUCUGUUUUAGAUACAGAUGAAACUCUCCCUCCCUCCCCGCCCCACCCAAUCUUUCUCUGUCUCCCUCCCUGAGCCUAUUCUUGCUUCUUCCCUUUACAAAUAAUUAACUGCUCAGGUCAUGUUGAACCAAAAAAUAGCAUCUGUAGCCCCUGUGUGCUUACUUUAAGUAUAUGUUACUGAAAAAUGCGGAGUGAGCACUUACAACUCAUUCUCCUGGGAAGCACAGUGAUACUAUACCCCAAAUGCUUUUCUUUAUCAUUUUAAUUUUUAUCUUCUUUACUUACAUUUCCAACAUCAGUUAAGAGGGUCUUGUAGUUUUCUAACUGAAAGGAGAUUGUAAAAUCUCCUUGCUCAAAACUCAGAUGCAGAAUAUUAUUUUUACUACAAUAAAUACAUCUACAACAAUGGUAUUAUAUCUGGUUUAUUUCAAAGUCAAGUUCUAAUAUAGGUAAACAAAUAUACUAAUAAAGAGAUAAUGCUUUUCUCAUGAAAUGUAUAAUCUAGUAGGAAUAAAGAUAAACAAUUUUUUUAAAAAUUCUAUUUCAUUAAGCAAAAAUGCAACUCAGAAGAAUAAUGUAUAUUAGCAGUCAUUUACUAUUUUUCAAUUAAAUUCCGAUAUAUAUGUAAAGUAAAUUAUUACUAAUAUCAAACAUAGUUUAAAGAAUUAGUGACUAUGUGCACUUGGAUCUCCAUAUGUAAUGUACUAUCAGCAUCUUCACAAACACAGUAAAUUUUACUACGCAAGUAAAACUUAUUUUACUAAACGAUGAUUACUCCUUCUAUAUUCAUAUUCCUAAACACAUACAGUUUCUUAAUGUAAUUAAGUUUUUAACUAAAAAAAGGGAAAUGCAUUAUUGAGGCGAUAGGAUUACUGGGUGGCUAUAAACACAUCUGCUGCACAGCUGACAUUUAUCUUCUACAAUGAGCAAUGACAAUUUUAUUUUUUAAUAAUCAGUAUGGACUAAUCCUGAUGAUUUUUUUUUAACAUUUUCAAAUAGGGCUGCAUAUGGCUUAAAAUUAAUAUAUACAUGUGUACCUAUAUAAUAUUCUUAUUUAUUAAUGGACUUCCUACAUAGCUCAUAUUGACGUUAGAUUUAAAUGAAAUUCCAGAAGGGUUUUCUAUAGGUAAGUCAUACAUUGGAUUUCCAUAUUACCUAUGAUUAUUGAAGUAUUUAUUUCUGUUUUUAAGACUUCAGAGCAAUUUUGCUGGUCAUUUGUUUUCUGUGUUUUUAUUUUGAAAUUGUUCUUUGAGGCAUUGUCCUAUUACAUUUUUAAGGUAUGUUAAUAAAAUAAUAUUUUUAA